AGUAUUUGGUCACGGUCCAGUUAAGUACCAUGGAAUGGCUGUUUGAUGUGUUAUAUUUCCAGUUUUGCCCUUGUUAUAAGUUGCCCGUGUUAUAGAAGAUGAUCUACUGGCUUUUCAGCACAUCUAUGUUCUCUUAUCAAUGGACUCCUUAAUUUGAGGUACAGUUUUAUGUAGAUGGUAAUAUUCUAUUUCUGCUUCAGAAUCUCUUCUUGUGUUAUAAAGAGUGUGUUUUACUGUGUCAGUUAGGAGAGUGAUAUCCUGAAUUUGCAUAGGGAAGCUGGUGAUAGAAUUUUAUUAUUUUAGCUGUG
Molecule: long non-coding RNA, 308 nt
Filed under: Manihot esculenta (cassava)
Lineage: Eukaryota; Viridiplantae; Streptophyta; Magnoliopsida; Malpighiales; Euphorbiaceae
Description: long non-coding RNA (MESC_LNC008243)
Source: RNAcentral